AGAGUUUGAUCAUGGCUCAGAUUGAACGCUGGCGGCAGGCCUAACACAUGCAAGUCGAGCGGUAACAGGGGAAGCUUGCUUCUCGCUGACGAGCGGCGGACGGGUGAGUAAUGUCUGGGAAACUGCCUGAUGGAGGGGGAUAACUACUGGAAACGGUAGCUAAUACCGCAUAACGUCGCAAGACCAAAGUGGGGGACCUUCGGGCCUCAUGCCAUCAGAUGUGCCCAGAUGGGAUUAGCUAGUAGGUGGGGUAACGGCUCACCUAGGCGACGAUCCCUAGCUGGUCUGAGAGGAUGACCAGCCACACUGGAACUGAGACACGGUCCAGACUCCUACGGGAGGCAGCAGUGGGGAAUAUUGCACAAUGGGCGCAAGCCUGAUGCAGCCAUGCCGCGUGUGUGAAGAAGGCCUUCGGGUUGUAAAGCACUUUCAGCGGGGAGGAAGGCAUUAAGGUUAAUAACCUUAGUGAUUGACGUUACCCGCAGAAGAAGCACCGGCUAACUCCGUGCCAGCAGCCGCGGUAAUUC
Molecule: ribosomal RNA, 527 nt
Filed under: uncultured bacterium
Lineage: Bacteria
Description: bacterial SSU rRNA
Rfam family: Bacterial small subunit ribosomal RNA
Source: RNAcentral